UGAAAAUUACCUCUUGUGUGUAUUGUGACAUGGUAUCAAAGCAGGACACACGGUCCUGGUUCCUCUUCUCCAAGUUACCUAUAGCCCGGUUCUUGUGAACAUUUUCACAAACACAUGGAAGACCCCAACUCCAUCACCGAUCCCAGCCAAUCUUCACCUAAUUCUGAUGCUAUACUUACAGGUAUUUCCACCAAAAUUUCUGAAGCCUUAACUAAGACACACAUAUCAGCCCCACUCAUUGAAAAUUCACCCCAGAUUGGUAUCAAACUGAAUGAUACAAACUAUGGCCUAUGGUCCCAGGUUAUGGAAAUGUAUAUUUCCGGGAAAGAUAAACUGGGUUACAUUAAUGGAGAUACACCUCCACCCCUACCAACUGAUCCCUCCUUCCGAAAAUGGCGAACUGAUAAUGCCAUUGUCAAGCGAUGGAUUAUCAAUUCGUUGGACCCUGUUCUGAUUGGCAAUUUCAUUCGUUUCCAUACUGCUAAGGAAGUUUGGGAUGCUAUUGCCACUACAUACUUUGAUGGGAAUGAUAAAUCCCAAGUCCAUGAUCUUCGACGAAGGGUGAGUCGCCUAAGACAAGCAGGCGGAUCUGUGGAGAAAUAUUACACUGAACUGCAGGGGUUGUGGUGCGAAAUUGACUUCCGUCGCCCAAAUCCAAUGAAGUGUGCUGCUGACAUCCGCCACUUCAAUAAUUUGACCCAGGAAGACAGAGUUUACACCUUCCUUGAUGGGCUCGAUGAACGUCUCGAUAGCAUCCGUAGUGGAGUUUUGCAUAUGGACCCGUUUCCUACCGUUGAGCAGGCGUAUGCGUACGUCCGUCAUGAGGCACUGCGACAAGUAGUCAUGGUUUCUACAGACUCCGAUAAUGGUCUUCCUAGAGCGAUCUUGGCAACCAAAGGCGUGAAGAUGGGAUCAUUUGCUGUUGCUGGAAUAAAUUCUUUAAAGGGAGACCCAAAUAAAAGUGGUGGAGGCCCAAAUAAAAGUGGGCCAAAUAAGUUAAAGGGUUUGGAUGAGGAAAUUAAGUGUUCAUACUGUGGAAAUAACAAGCACGCACGAGAAAACUGCUUUAAAC
RNAcentral lists this long non-coding RNA (1072 nucleotides) under Olea europaea subsp. europaea. The record is from RNAcentral. Lineage: Eukaryota; Viridiplantae; Streptophyta; Magnoliopsida; Lamiales; Oleaceae.